Molecule: long non-coding RNA, 1344 nt
Filed under: Salmo salar (Atlantic salmon)
Lineage: Eukaryota; Metazoa; Chordata; Actinopteri; Salmoniformes; Salmonidae
Description: lncRNA (ENSSSAG00000110376.1)
Source: RNAcentral
UGAAAAAUGUCCGAUGCAGCCCUUACACCUAACACCAUGUGAGGAUUGUCAUCGUACAUGUCGAUCCUUCUACUGCUAUGAAAAACACAACAUUUAAACAUGGCACCCCAAGGCAUGUAAAUCUGUAAGCAGUUGUGACAUUAACAAGAAAUGUCCAAAAUGCCAUUGUAAUUACAACCUUAAAAUAGACAACCCCCAACCUCACAUAUGUCGGAUGAUAAUCUGCACGAUCUGUAAAGGUAUGUGGUAUCCUACACUGCCCUGUCUGUAAAGGUAUGUGGUAUCCUACACUGCCCUGUCUGUAAAGGUAUGUGGUAUCCUAAACUGCCCUGUCUGUAAAGGUAUGUGGUAUCCUAAACUGCCCUGUCUGUAAAGGUAUGUGGUAUCCUAAACUGUCCUGUCUGUAAAGGUAUGUGGUAUCCUAAACUGCCCUGUCUGUAAAGGGCCUUUGAAAAGCAGAGACCCUGAAGUGGUUCAAGAAGUGGAACAUGAGUGUUAUAUUCAGCCAUUGGCUGAAGAUGAACAUUCAGAGAAAUAUGUAUUUUAUGACUUUGAGAGUAAUCAACAGUCAGGGGUUCAUCUGCCUAUAUGUCACUUCUUUCCUAGAUAUUGGACGAAGGCGCAGCAGGUUGAGUGCUCAUAUUUACUUUUAUUGAACAGUAAAACAACAAAACGUACGAACGAACGAACAGGAUGCAGGCUAAACACAAAGCUAUGCAACUACAACUACCCCCAAAUACCCCAUACAAAACAACCCCUAUACAUAGGACCUUCAAUCAGAGGCAACGAGGAACAGCUGCCUCCAAUUGAAGGUCAAAUCAAUAAACUGAACAUAGACGUAAACAACCUAGAACUAACAUAGAAUGCACUAACCUAGAACCUAAACCUAAAACCCCGGUACACUCUAAACCAACACCCCUCUACAUAAACACAUAGCCCAACAAACCCCUAAACACUCUAAACAAAUACCCCCUGCCACGUCCUGACUAAACAUCAAUAACAAAUAAGCCCUUUACUGGUCAGGACGUGACACUAUAUUUGUAUCUACCAUGAUUUUCAAGGGUGAAAGGUGGUUGGCAAAGAGCCUCAAUUGUGCCCUACUCUUUCUAAAACAUUCCUUAACCUCUUAGGGCUAGGGGGCAGUAUUUACACUGCCGGAUAAAAAACGUCCCCGAUUCUGAUUACUACUCCUACCCAGUUACUAGAAUAUGCAUAUACUUAUUAGAUAUGGAUAGAAAACACCCUAAAGUUUCUAAAACUGUUUGAAUGGUGUCUGUGAGUAUAACAGAACUCAUAUGGCAGGCAAAAACCUGAGAGAUUCCUUUACAGGAAGUGACCUGUCUG